RNAcentral lists this long non-coding RNA (1189 nucleotides) under Felis catus (domestic cat). RNAcentral describes it as "lncRNA (ENSFCAG00000049014.1)". The record is from RNAcentral. Lineage: Eukaryota; Metazoa; Chordata; Mammalia; Carnivora; Felidae.
GUUCGCGUCCCGCCAGGCCUCAGUUUACUACGUUGGUAAGGGCUUCGGGGAAAGUUUGGAGCUGCCCCCUGUCGGAAGAAUCGGUGUCCCUCGUUGGGGCAGCCCUGCAAGGUGAGUGGUGGGGGGACUAGGCCAGAGGAGCUCUCUUUUCUUUAGUGCCCCCCGCUUCCUCCCGGAUUCCAGAAUUCAUAUCCCGGCAGCUGCAGGCCUACUGUCGGAAUGAAGGGUUGGGACUGACUUGGGGAUACGGAGCGAGGAAAAUGGGGGUCCCCGAUCUCCUGGGAGUUCCCUUAAACUUGCAGCAAAGUCGUGGGCGUGGCGAUGACCACCAGCGGAGCUUCUGGAGUCCUGAGGGCAGGAUUAUGAUGAAUUGGGGAGAGAUAGCUGAUCAAGAAGCUGCCUCUUCACAUCCAGAGCCUGUUGUCUGAGACCCCUCCAGGGCCAACAACAUGAGGUGAGUGCCAGACUCCGUGCCAGCUGUGAGCCAGACACAGGUAUCCUCCCACUCACGGUGGCCCUAACCUGGAUCCUUACCAGGUAAGGCUGCUGGGGCCCAGAGACUGCCCACUGGCUUCCCGAGCUGGCCCCCAAGGCAGCAUAGAAUAAUUGAAGCUUAGAGUGACUGAAAGUACGAGGCAGGCCAGGCCCAGCUCUAAGCUCCUUACACACAUUCACUCUUGGCAGUAAGUUAGGCCCUUUUAUUAUGUAUGUAUUUUAUUAUUUAUUCAUUCACUCAUUCAUUCAUUCAACCAAAGGACAAGGGGAUGCACAGACACGUUCACAAGUUCCCAGGAGGCUGCAUUCAGUCUCAGCCAGGCUACUGGAACAGGAACCGCCCAGACUCUGAAGCCAGGCAGACUGUUUUGCCAUCCUGGUGCCCCCUUUUGCAGGACAGGUGUGGAAACGAGAUGCUGAUGGUUCAUCUUCCUGGCCACCGAGAACACCUGGCCUGGGCCUGCUGCACUGCCCCCUCAGCCCACCUCACCACCUCAGCACAAAAUUCGCCCUGUAAGCAGGACCAUCGGGAGCUCCCAGGAAGGGCCAGGAGCACAGCUGCUCUCGAGCAGAUGAGCCUACAGACACGAGACGGCGGUGGCAGGGAGGGCCUGGCUGAUGUACACCCUACGCAAGGACGAGCACAGAACAUGGCCAAGGUCAGGGACAUGUGGGGUCAGCUGACCAAGUGAGG